AGAGCUCCAAGUGGGCCAUUUU
Molecule: small nuclear RNA, 22 nt
Filed under: Arabidopsis thaliana (thale cress)
Lineage: Eukaryota; Viridiplantae; Streptophyta; Magnoliopsida; Brassicales; Brassicaceae
Description: snRNA_19174
Source: RNAcentral